Gasterosteus aculeatus aculeatus (three-spined stickleback) is the source of this 558-nucleotide long non-coding RNA. Lineage: Eukaryota; Metazoa; Chordata; Actinopteri; Perciformes; Gasterosteidae. The record is from Ensembl.
UAUUCCGUCGUGCUUGACGUCAUUUCCCAUUCCGCAGCUGGUGGUUCGUCUGCGCGCUGACAGCAACAGCCGUGUGUCUCUUAUACCGACAGCGAGUAUCAACAGUGAGUUUACUCGUUGUUGAGCCUCGGAAAGCUUCGCAUCAGCUCCCCAAACUCCUUUUUUCCCUCUUCUCCGGCACGUGACGCCACAGCGGGACUUCUUAUUGCCAAAACUGUCUGCAACUGGUGUUCGUGGAGGAAGAGGCAGGACAUAGGGGGGGAAAUCCGGACCUCUGGUUUUAUCACUGCAGCUCCUGCUGGAAGCAACAAGUAGGAGGCCUGUCGGAACUGGACGUAAUCAGCUUUUCUUAAAGACCCAAAGAAAGGAUGUGCUUGUCAGUAUCGCAUCAUCUCAAUGCAACCUGUAUUUUGAUAUUCACAUGAAUCCCUGAUUUGAUUUCUUUGAGUCUUUCCGUGCGGUCUGGGAAUACGGCUUUCCCAUUUCAAUGAGGCUAAUGGGAGUAUUCUCCCACUUCAGAAAGCACUCAUCUCCGUGUAAACAAGCAGCUGCGAGGCA